This 59-nucleotide transfer RNA is filed under the name Candidatus Dojkabacteria bacterium. Its description in RNAcentral is "tRNA-Arg". It matches the Rfam family "tRNA", at positions 9 to 63 of the family's 71-position model. Rfam says of the family: Transfer RNA (tRNA) molecules are approximately 80 nucleotides in length. The record is from RNAcentral.
AGUUCAGUUGGAUAGAACGCAGGAUUGCGGAUCCUGAGGUCAGAGGUUCGAAUCCUCUC